RNAcentral lists this ribosomal RNA (300 nucleotides) under uncultured Aquimarina sp. RNAcentral describes it as "bacterial SSU rRNA". It matches the Rfam family "Bacterial small subunit ribosomal RNA", at positions 115 to 415 of the family's 1533-position model. Lineage: Bacteria; Pseudomonadati; Bacteroidota; Flavobacteriia; Flavobacteriales; Flavobacteriaceae. The record is from RNAcentral.
GCGUAUAGAAUCUACCUUGUAGUAAGGGAUAGCCCAGAGAAAUUUGGAUUAAUACCUUAUAGUAUCUUAAGUGAGCAUUCACUAUGGAUUAAAGAUUUAUCGCUACAAGAUGACUAUGCGUUCUAUUAGCUAGUUGGUAUGGUAACGGCAUACCUAGGCUACGAUAGAUAGGGGUCCUGAGAGGGAGAUCCCCCACACUGGUACUGAGACACGGACCAGACUCCUACGGGAGGCAGCAGUGAGGAAUAUUGGACAAUGGAGGCAACUCUGAUCCAGCCAUGCCGCGUGUAGGAAGACUGC